CUGGGUCUCAACCAAAGUGAUUUGGAUUUAAUUGAUCUGGUGAGUAGCUAGGUCAUUAAGAUCUUUUAAGAAUCUCCCCAUGUUAUUACAAUGUGUAGCCAAGUUUGAGGCCAAUGUUUACUUACAGGUGAAUCCAUUAAAAGGGCUAAUGACAAUGAAGUUAGUGUAGGCACCUCACAUUCCAAGGGUCUGAGCACAGGGGAAAUAGUAAAGUGUUCAUCCCAUUUGUAUGGAUUUGUGUGUUGCCUGUGUUUUUGACCAUGGCAGAGAUGGGGUUAUUAAGGUGGAAUCCACUCUAUGGAAUUACCAUAAUCUUGGUGGUAACAUGUUUCUGGUAACAUGUUUCUGGUAACAUGCACUUACAGAAGCAAUGUUUAUUAUGUGGGUUUAAAUUUUACUUGGUUGGGUUCUUAUCUUCUCUCUCCUGUUCUACUGUGUUAGUUCCUUAACCAGAAUUCCUGAGAGCACAUGAUGUUCCAGUAGUUGUGCAGGGAUAAGAAUAUAGCAGUGAAGGAAUAUAAAGAGCCUCAUUCUCUUCUAGCCCCCCUGCUUCAGAAAAUGUUACCUUCAUGUUUAUAAAAGGAUUGUGCUGAUAUGUUGUUACUUUGAUGCCUAUUGUGAGACAUGCAUUAGACUGAAAAUCAGCAAACAUGAGGACUGGUCCUAACACUGACUCAUCCAGGUUGGAUAUCAUGUCUUUGGAGAAGUCUUCUCUGCACCCCUCUCCCAAUAAAGCUAAACAUUCUUCCAC
Long non-coding RNA from Lagenorhynchus albirostris (white-beaked dolphin), 751 nucleotides. RefSeq lists it as uncharacterized. The record is from RefSeq and is a predicted model, not a curated record. Lineage: Eukaryota; Metazoa; Chordata; Mammalia; Artiodactyla; Delphinidae. The transcript is spliced from 3 exons.